Molecule: ribosomal RNA, 222 nt
Filed under: uncultured Carnobacteriaceae bacterium
Lineage: Bacteria; Bacillati; Bacillota; Bacilli; Lactobacillales; Carnobacteriaceae
Description: partial 16S ribosomal RNA
Rfam family: Bacterial small subunit ribosomal RNA
Source: RNAcentral
UGAGGAACUUGCCCAUGAGCGGGGGACAACAUUCGGAAACGGAUGCUAAUACCCCAUAGGUGGAUUGGUCGCAUGACGAAUUCAUUAAAGGUGGCUCUGCUACCACUCAUGGAUAGCCUCGCGGCGUAUUAGCUAGUUGGUAAGGUAAUGGCUUACCAAGGCGACGAUACGUAGCCGACCUGAGAGGGUGAUCGGCCACACUGGAACUGAGACACGGUCCAG